UAUCCCUGAAAAUAAUCAUGUGAAUGGGCACUGUAUAAUUAGAGGCACAAACUCCACCAGAAACUGGAGUCACUUAAACUAAUAUUUGACAAAGUUUUUUUAAUAAAUUAGGAUAUUUUAGCAGACAGUAUGAUGAUGGAUGGAAUUAUACCUUUGAAUUGGAGAAGCGGGAAGAGCCAAAGCCAGCUUUUAAUGAUUUCAUAAUUUUGUCUGGGUCUGGCUGUGGUCUCUUUUUUUACCCUAAGAACCAGUGAGAAAGAAGCUUUCCUUUUGGAAAGCCAGACUUGAGAUAUAAGAGGCCGCCCUGUAGAGGAGGAAGGAGGAAGUUGGCUGUGAUUGACCUUGCUAGGUCAUCUUCCUAAUCUUUGUCCUUUCCUGCACCCCAAAUGGAAGAUAAAAGGCAAUGCAAGAUCAGCAUCCUCAGAGACAUCGUUUUGUUUGGGUUUCAUGGAUUGCAAUUGCCAGAGAUGCUUAGGCUGCCUCUAGAGGGAAGAUGAUUGAUUGUUAACCUAUGUGGUCCAACCAAAUGUCUUAGGGGUUAUUGAUAAUUAAAAUGGACAAUAGCGAUUUUCCAUUUCUUCUGGCCUUGGGUGCUGGCAUGUGGAAGUGGUAUUGAUACUCAUGACCAAAUAGGCACUUAUCGAUUUCAGUUUUCAUAAGUUGCCUACCAAAUGCAAACUAGUAACCCAGACGUGGGAGACCUAAUAUUCCAUUGUUAAUCUUUAGGUCCAUAAUUUUUAUUUCCUCUACUUGCCUCUUCUUCCUUCCUCUGCAUAAUGAGUUGGGCUUAUAUAAUUGCACCCAUUUACUCACUCAUUCGUUCAAUCAAUUAUUUGUUCCUAUUUUAUGCCAAGUAAUGAACAGAAGGUGUUGGGGAUGCAAAACCCAACUAAUUGGAAUUUCUAUGUUACAGGAGCUUAUGCUUUAGUGAAAUUAUAGACAAAUUAUUAUACAGUUUUAAUCCAGAAUAGUAAGUGCUAUGGGAGCAUGCACAGAGGAAACAACCCAAUCUUAAGGAAUCAGGAAGGUUUGCAGAGGACUGACAGGAAAAGUGGGCAGGUGAAGAAGAUGGGCAGUGAGAGGAGGAGUGGAAGCACUUUUGCUAGGGAAAAACAUGAAUAAAAGGGAUAAUUUUCUGCUCUUACCCCUGGGUGAUCUUUGCGUGGUACUGUCCAUCACAGUUGGGAGAGACGGCUCCUCAGAGCUGCUCCACACUGUUCACAGAGGAUGCCAUUCCAAGGAAACUGGGGAAUAGGGAAAGUCUUUAGCUUAUUCCUCUUUGAGGUUUGUUUGAGAUGCAGUUUCUUCAAUAUUUUGAGUCUAUGAAAACAUGUUGUAUACUUAAAUAUAUACCACAAAAAAUAAAAAAAAUUGCGAUUUAAA
RNAcentral lists this long non-coding RNA (1383 nucleotides) under Homo sapiens (human). Its description in RNAcentral is "HSALNT0043725". Lineage: Eukaryota; Metazoa; Chordata; Mammalia; Primates; Hominidae. The record is from RNAcentral.